Molecule: long non-coding RNA, 1025 nt
Filed under: Linum usitatissimum (flax)
Lineage: Eukaryota; Viridiplantae; Streptophyta; Magnoliopsida; Malpighiales; Linaceae
Description: long non-coding RNA (LUSI_LNC007744)
Source: RNAcentral
UAGUGGGUUUUGUCCACAAAUUGAAGGCAAACAGAACAAACAGAACAGAAUGCACAAAGUUUAGGUUCUUGGUAAACAACCAAUCUUUUCCAUAAACAACAAACUUUAUGAUACCAGAAUCAACUAAAUCUUCACAUUGUAUUUGUAGCAGAAAAGACAAUGGCGACAGCGUAAUCAUUGCCUAUAGCUUGGAAGCAGUGAGGUGAUAGAAGGUUGAGCGAGCAGUAUACAUUAGCUUCCCGGUUUUCUUCUGCCGGAACUCCAUUGAAACCACCGUCAAGUUCCUUCCGCUCCUCACCACAUUAACCAAUCUUUUCCAUAAACAACAAACUUUAUGAUACCAGAAUCAACCAAAUCUUCACAUUGUAUUUGUAGCAGAAAAGACAAUGGCGACAGCGUAAUCAUUGCCUAUAGCUUGGAAGCAGUGAGGUGAUAGAAGGUUGAGCGAGCAGUAUACAUUAGCUUCCCGGUUUUCUUCUGCCGGAACUCCAUUGAAACCACCGUCAAGUUCCUUCCGCUCCUCACCACAUUAACCAAUCUUUUCCAUAAACAACAAACUUUAUGAUACCAGAAUCAACUAAAUCUUCACAUUGUAUUUGUAGCAGAAAAGACAAUGGCGACAGCGUAAUCAUUGCCUAUAGCUUGGAAGCAGUGAGGUGAUAGAAGGUUGAGCGAGCAGUAUACAUUAGCUUCCCGGUUUUCUUCUGCCGGAACUCCAUUGAAACCACCGUCAAGUUCCUUCCGCUCCUCACCACAUUAACCAAUCUUUUCCAUAAACAACAAACUUUAUGAUACCAGAAUCAACCAAAUCUUCACAUUGUAUUUGUAGCAGAAAAGACAAUGGCGACAGCGUAAUCAUUGCCUAUAGCUUGGAAGCAGUGAGGUGAUAGAAGGUUGAGCGAGCAGUAUACAUUAGCUUCCCGGUUUUCUUCUGCCGGAACUCCAUUGAAACCACCGUCAAGUUCCUUCCGCUCCUCACCACAUUAGCCUCAACCGUCAGCGUCUCCUGCAUCAACGACCACCAA